UAUACAUACAAUAUAUACAUAUAUACAAACAUUUUAAAACGUUUAUAGAAUUAUUUCUGUUAGAAUUUGAUACAUUUGAUGAAUCUUGAAUAUAAUAAUAAGACAAUUGGUCUGAAAAACAAAGCAAGAAAAUAAUUAUCAAAAUAUAUAUGUAAACAUCUCUGUAUGCAGAUGCAAAAAUAUUCCAUAGUUGAAUUUAAUGAUGAAAAUACCGUUGAAAUUAUUCCUUCUUCUUGGAUAUCAUUUGAUAAAGAAACUACAUUAUGGCCCAAUACUAUAUCUCCUGCCAUUCUAAAGAAAUAUUUGAAAAAUAAUACUCAGCCCAAUGAUGAUUGGACUUCUGUACAUAUAAGAGUUUUAGGACAUGCAGAUAAUUUAACUGAAGCCAU
Non-coding RNA from Nylanderia fulva, 389 nucleotides. The record is from RefSeq and is a predicted model, not a curated record. NCBI's taxonomy places the organism in Eukaryota, Metazoa, Arthropoda, Insecta, Hymenoptera, Formicidae.